RNAcentral lists this ribosomal RNA (253 nucleotides) under uncultured bacterium. RNAcentral's name for it is "partial 16S ribosomal RNA". It matches the Rfam family "Bacterial small subunit ribosomal RNA", at positions 524 to 776 of the family's 1533-position model. The record is from RNAcentral.
UACGUAGGGGGCUAGCGUUGUCCGGAUUUAUUGGGCGUAAAGAGCGUGUAGGCGGCCAGGUAGGUCUGGUGUGAAAACUCGAGGCUUAACCUCGAGAUGUCAUCGGAAACCAUCUGGCUAGAGUCCGGAAGAGGAGAGUGGAAUUCCUGGUGUAGCGGUGAAAUGCGCAGAUAUCAGGAAGAACACCAAUGGCGAAAGCAGCUCUCUAGGACGGUACUGACGCUGAGACGCGAAAGCGUGGGGAGCGAACAGG